RNAcentral lists this ribosomal RNA (430 nucleotides) under uncultured rumen protozoa. RNAcentral's name for it is "bacterial SSU rRNA". It matches the Rfam family "Eukaryotic small subunit ribosomal RNA", at positions 115 to 590 of the family's 1831-position model. The record is from RNAcentral.
AUGCGAUGGCUCCCCCCCGUUUGUUAUUUGGAAUUAUGGAUAACUGGAGAAAAAAGAGCUAAUACAUGCCAAGCCUCACGGUUGUAUUUAUUAGAUAUUCCAUUAGGUGAAUCAUAAUAACUUCGCAAUCUCGGUUUUGCCGAGAUAAUCAUCCAGUUUCUGCCCUAUCAUGCUUUCGUUGGGAGUGUAUUGGACUACCAUGGCUCUCACGGGUAACAGGGAAUUAGGGUUCGAUUCUGGAGAAGGAGCCUGAGAAACGGCUACUACAUCUACGGAAGGCAGCAGGCGCGUAAUUACCCAAUCCUGACUCAUGGAUGUGGUGACAGAUAUAAUGACGCUAUGAAAAUAGUGAUUAUAGUGAGGGUAUUCCAACCGAACCACAAGUACGAUUAGAGGGCAGUCUGGUGCCAGCAGCCGCGGUAUUCCAGCU